This 517-nucleotide ribosomal RNA is filed under the name Podosphaera balsaminae. RNAcentral's name for it is "eukaryotic LSU rRNA". It matches the Rfam family "Eukaryotic large subunit ribosomal RNA", at positions 118 to 651 of the family's 3401-position model. Lineage: Eukaryota; Fungi; Ascomycota; Leotiomycetes; Helotiales; Erysiphaceae. The record is from RNAcentral.
AAAUCUGGCUCCUCGGGGCCCGAAUUGUAAUUUGUAGAAGAUGCUUUGGGUCUGGGCCUGGCCUAAGUUCCUUGGAACAGGACGUCGUAGAGGGUGAGAAUCCCGUAUGCGGCUGGCGCCCGUGCCCGUGUAAAGCUCUUUCAACGAGUCGAGUUGUUUGGGAAUGCAGCUCUAAAUGGGUGGUAAAUUUCAUCUAAAGCUAAAUAUUGGCCAGAGACCGAUAGCGCACAAGUAGAGUGAUCGAAAGAUGAAAAGCACUUUGGAAAGAGAGUUAAACAGUACGUGAAAUUGUUGAAAGGGAAGCGCUGGCAACCAGACUUGGGCGCUGUUGAUCCGCUAGGGUUCUCUCUAGGGCACUCGGCAGUGCGCAGGCCAGCAUCGGUUUGGGGGGUUGGAGAAUGGCUGGUGGAAUGUGGCUGUCUUCGGGCAGUGUUAUAGCCACCGGUGGCAUGCAGCCUCCCCGGACCGAGGACCGCGCUUCGGCUAGGAUGCUGGCGUAAUGGUUGUCAGCGACCCG